AACGGAUAGCAAGUUCUUUUUCAAAUGUAGAACAAGAAGCACGUCAUUUAAUUUAAAUUUUCCUUCUUUUGACUCCAUGAUUAGAGUAUCGCGAGGCUUGAUAUGUGGGAUGGUUGUCAUAAUCAAAGGGAUUGUAGUUCCUGACAGAUAUUUGGGAUCUUCUAUAGUAACUUCUACUCUCCUAUCAGUUUUGAGAUAAAAC
This 202-nucleotide long non-coding RNA is filed under the name Olea europaea (common olive). RNAcentral describes it as "long non-coding RNA (OEUR_LNC013439)". The record is from RNAcentral. Lineage: Eukaryota; Viridiplantae; Streptophyta; Magnoliopsida; Lamiales; Oleaceae.